AGUGAACGCUGGCGGUAGGCCUAACACAUGCAAGUCGAACGGCAGCACAGUAAGAGCUUGCUCUUACGGGUGGCGAGUGGCGGACGGGUGAGGAAUACAUCGGAAUCUACUUUUUCGUGGGGGAUAACGUAGGGAAACUUACGCUAAUACCGCAUACGACCUACGGGUGAAAGCAGGGGAUCUUCGGACCUUGCGCGAUUGAAUGCGCGGAUGUCGGAUUAGCUAGUUGGCGGGGUAAAGGCCCACCAAGGCGACGAUCCGUAGCUGGUCUGAGAGGAUGAUCGGCCACACUGGAACUGAGACACGGUCCAGACUCCUACGGGAGGCAGCAGUGGGGAAUAUUGGACAAUGGGCGCAAGCCUGAUCCAGCCAUACCGCGUGGGUGAAGAAGGCCUUCGGGUUGUAAAGCCCUUUUGUUGGGAAAGAAAAGCAGCAGGUUAAUACCCCGCUGUUCUGACGGUACCCAAAGAAUAAGCACCGGCUAACUUCGUG
RNAcentral lists this ribosomal RNA (492 nucleotides) under uncultured bacterium. RNAcentral describes it as "partial 16S ribosomal RNA". It matches the Rfam family "Bacterial small subunit ribosomal RNA", at positions 29 to 507 of the family's 1533-position model. The record is from RNAcentral.